This 464-nucleotide ribosomal RNA is filed under the name Clostridioides difficile. RNAcentral's name for it is "bacterial SSU rRNA". It matches the Rfam family "Bacterial small subunit ribosomal RNA", at positions 1 to 454 of the family's 1533-position model. The record is from RNAcentral. Lineage: Bacteria; Bacillati; Bacillota; Clostridia; Peptostreptococcales; Peptostreptococcaceae.
UUUAUGGAGAGUUUGAUCCUGGCUCAGGAUGAACGCUGGCGGCGUGCCUAAUACAUGCAAGUCGAGCGAACAGACGAGGAGCUUGCUCCUUUGACGUUAGCGGCGGACGGGUGAGUAACACGUGGGUAACCUACCUAUAAGACUGGGAUAACUUCGGGAAACCGGAGCUAAUACCGGAUAAUAUUUCGAACCGCAUGGUUCGAUAGUGAAAGAUGGCUCUGCUAUCACUUAUAGAUGGACCUGCGCCGUAUUAGCUAGUUGGUAAGGUAACGGCUUACCAAGGCAACGAUACGUAGCCGACCUGAGAGGGUGAUCGGCCACACUGGAACUGAGACACGGUCCAGACUCCUACGGGAGGCAGCAGUAGGGAAUCUUCCGCAAUGGGCGAAAGCCUGACGGAGCAACGCCGCGUGAGUGCUGAAGGUCUUCGGAUCGUAAAACUCUGUUAUUAGGGAAGAACAAAC